Molecule: transfer RNA, 73 nt
Filed under: Mycobacterium phage Reindeer
Lineage: Duplodnaviria; Heunggongvirae; Uroviricota; Caudoviricetes; Vilmaviridae
Description: tRNA-His
Rfam family: tRNA
About the family: Transfer RNA (tRNA) molecules are approximately 80 nucleotides in length. Their secondary structure includes four short double-helical elements and three loops (D, anti-codon, and T loops).
Source: RNAcentral
CCCCUUGUGGCGUAAUGGUUAGCGCAGCGGUCUGUGAAGCCGUCCAUCACGGUUCGACUCCGUGCAGGGGGAC